AACGAACGCUGGCGGCAUGCCUAACACAUGCAAGUCGAACGAGACCUUCGGGUCUAGUGGCGAAAGGGUGCGUAACGCGUGGGAACCUGCCAUUAGGUUCGGAAUAACUCCCCGAAAGGGGUGCUAAUACCGGAUAAUGUCUUCGGACCAAAGAUUUAUCGCCUUUGGAUGGGCCAGCGUUGGAUUAGGUAGUUGGUAGGGUAAAAGCCUACCAAGGCGACGUUCCAUAGCUGGUCUGAGAGGAUGAUCAGACACACUGGGACUGAGACACGGCCCAGACUCCAACGGGAGGAAGCAGUGGGGAAGAUUGGACGAUGGGCGAAAGCCGGAGCCAGCAAUGCCGGGUAAGUGAUGAAGGCCGUAGGGUUAUAAAGCUCUUUUACCCGGGAUGAUAAUGACAGUACCGGGAGAAUAAGCUCCGGCUAACUCCGUG
This 433-nucleotide ribosomal RNA is filed under the name uncultured bacterium. RNAcentral describes it as "partial 16S ribosomal RNA". It matches the Rfam family "Bacterial small subunit ribosomal RNA", at positions 29 to 507 of the family's 1533-position model. The record is from RNAcentral.